This 433-nucleotide ribosomal RNA is filed under the name uncultured bacterium. RNAcentral describes it as "partial 16S ribosomal RNA". It matches the Rfam family "Bacterial small subunit ribosomal RNA", at positions 29 to 507 of the family's 1533-position model. The record is from RNAcentral.
AACGAACGCUGGCGGCAGGCCUAACACAUGCAAGUCGAGCGAGGACUUCGGUUCUAGCGGCGGACGGGUGAGUAACGCGUGGGAAUGUGCCCUUCUCUACGGAAUAGCCCUGGGAAACUGGGAGUAAUACCGUAUACGCCCUUUUGGGGAAAGAUUUAUCGGAGAAGGAUCAGCCCGCGUUGGAUUAGGUAGUUGGUGGGGUAAUGGCCUACCAAGCCGACGAUCCAUAGCUGGUUUGAGAGGAUGAUCAGCCACCCUGGGACUGAGACACGGCCCAGACUCCUACGGGAGGCAGCAGUGGGGAAUCUUAGACAAUGGGGGCAACCCUGAUCUAGCCAUGCCGCGUGAGUGAUGAAGGCCUUAGGGUUGUAAAGCUCUUUCAGCUGGGAAGAUAAUGACGGUACCAGCAGAAGAAGCCCCGGCUAACUCCGUG